Molecule: ribosomal RNA, 510 nt
Filed under: uncultured bacterium
Lineage: Bacteria
Description: partial 16S ribosomal RNA
Rfam family: Bacterial small subunit ribosomal RNA
Source: RNAcentral
GACGAACGCUGGCGGCGUGCUUAACACAUGCAAGUCGAACGAAGAGCGAUGGAAGCUUGCUUCUAUCAAUCUUAGUGGCGAACGGGUGAGUAACGCGUAAUCAACCUGCCCUUCAGAGGGGGACAACAGUUGGAAACGACUGCUAAUACCGCAUACGCUCUAACCUCGGCAUCGAGGAAAGAUGAAAGGUGGCCUCCAUGUAUAAGCUAUCACUGAAGGAGGGGAUUGCGUCUGAUUAGCUAGCUGGAGGGGAAACGGCCCACCAAGGCGAUGAUCAGUAGUCGGUCUGGGAGGAUGAACGGCCACAUUGGGACUGAGAAACGGCCCAGAAUCAUACGGGUGGCAGCAGUGGGGAAUCUUACGCAAUGGAUGAAAGUCUGACGGAGCAACGCCGCGUGAGUGAUGACGGCCUUCGGGUUGUAAAGCACUGUUAAUCGGGACGAAAGGCCUUCUUGCGAAUAGUGAGAAGGAUUGACGGUACCGGAAGAGAAAGCCACGGCUAACUACGUG